Molecule: long non-coding RNA, 588 nt
Organism: Scatophagus argus
Lineage: Eukaryota; Metazoa; Chordata; Actinopteri; Scatophagidae
Exons: 6
Source: RefSeq, a predicted model, not a curated record
GAAUAUAAUAACAAUGUCUCUGUGACACAGCAAAUUAGGAUAACGUGUCAACAAACAGUUGCUAGUCGAUGCUAGCUGACAAGGAGCAACAUGGCCCCCUGAAUGUGAAUCAGCUGUGGUGACUUCUGCUCUGCAAUGUGGAUGUUGUGGCACCGGUGACUAACAGAGGUGAUGGCGCUGACUGGUGCAGCAGUGAGCUUUUGAAGGACGAACAGUUUCACUUCCUCCUGCGUAGGCUGAACUUAUCCAUGAUGGGCUUUGUAACCAGUAUGGAAAAUCAGAGCGGACUCAAGCCAGGAACCUAAUCUUGUGUGUGAGCAGCUUUCUCUUUGCAGUAUGGAAUUGGGAGUCAUCUUGUCCACUAGAGGGCCUCCUGUCUACCUGUUCUUCGUCUGCACUUCGCUUCAUCAGUGUCCAGGAGGCGGCGGCAUGAUCGAGGUGUCGCUCCCUGCCUGGGUGCUCUGCCGUGCCGCGUCUGUCCAUCUGUCAAGCAUAAAGGCCCAUCAAUCAAACAGCUGAAUGCAGGGCAGUCUUGAUGGCUCCAAUAUGGCGGGAAUAUUGACAUGCGAGACAACAGGCAAUGAGGAA